RNAcentral lists this small RNA (650 nucleotides) under Histoplasma capsulatum. RNAcentral's name for it is "hypothetical RNA". Lineage: Eukaryota; Fungi; Ascomycota; Eurotiomycetes; Onygenales; Ajellomycetaceae. The record is from RNAcentral.
UUGUUCUCCAGGGCAGAAAUGAAUUGAAGCAACGGACGGCAUUCUGCGUAGAUAACAUACAUUCAUGCGUAUCCAUAUAUACUAGUAUGAUCUAUUUAUUUGAGAUUACCCUCGUCGGCUCCGUCCCCUGUGAGGUGAUGCAACUUGCAAUUCCAUCCAAAUAACACUACUAGUAGCUGGCCAAUCAAUGCUUUCUUCUUUUCCAUUGGGCAACGCAGCCAGCCAACCUGCCUCCUGCGGGAUCUAGUUUUGCCCUGAGAUUGACGCGCAUGGGUGAUGAGAGAGACUUGUUUCCCUCGUGUCAGUUAUCCUUCAUGUGGCGGUAGGGAAGAAGAAAGAGGAGGUUCUAAGGAGAAGAAGAAGGAUAAAACAAGAGAAGAGAAGAAAAACCACAGGCCCGUACGUCCCAAUAUAUUUUCGUUAUAUUGAGAUUGGUGGGUGCUUUCAACUCUUGCUGCGAUCUGCAGCAGUCGAGAUGGCCUGGUUUUGUUUGUUUGCGAAUCAUCUGCGAUUGACGAUGUUAAAAGGCCUGUCAUAUCUAGACCUCUAGUGCCCCGGCGUAAGAAAUAUUGAUAGAUACAUACAUGCACAAUCGUGCAUUCAGGAAGCAGAAAAAAAAAAAAAAAGUAAAGCAAAGCAAUAGAUGGAUG